RNAcentral lists this long non-coding RNA (585 nucleotides) under Olea europaea subsp. europaea. Lineage: Eukaryota; Viridiplantae; Streptophyta; Magnoliopsida; Lamiales; Oleaceae. The record is from RNAcentral.
AUUCUAUUCUUCUCCAUAACACUUGUGGCUCCUUCUAAUAUAUAUAAAUACACAUAAAGUCCAUUCCCUCAAAACGCACUUCACUGCACCACCUCCCCACCAACAGAAACCAGAAAAUCUCCUCUCUCUCUAGAUUUUGUUAUUACAACGUUGAUGGCUCGAAGAAAUCUAAUACUACUUUUCGUUGUCUUGAUCAUCUUUACCGCCUUUGUUUCCUCUAUACAUGGCCGGAAGUUCUUGAAAGUACCAUCUCUCGACGACAGGUUGUUUCUAAACGCUCUUCCGAAAGGCACAGUGCCGGGUUCUACCCCUAGCAAGAAGGGCCAUGCCGUGAUCAUCGACGAAAAGCUAAUCGCCCUCCACCUCGCUCGUAUCGACCGGAUUCUCCGAUCAGUUCCUAGUCCCGGUGUUGGAAAUUAACUUUUUGUUAUAUUUCCACUUCUUUUACAAUUUUGUUUAAUUGCUGUUAAUGGUGUAUUGAAGCCAGGAAUAUUUCCGUUAGAACUGUACACUCGAUAUAUAUAAGUGUGUAGAAAGAGAUUUAUGGUCUAUGUUAUGAUUCAACGAAAUUUACCAAUGUUCUGG